GGAAUAUUGCUCAAUGGGAGAAAUCCUGAAGCAGCAACGCCGCGUGGAGGAUGAAGGGUCUAUGACUUGUAAACUCCUGUAAAGAAGGAAAAAAUUCCCAUUUGAUGGGAGAUGAUGGUACUUCUGGAGUAAGCCCCGGCUAACUACGUGCCAGCAGCCGCGGUAAUACGUAGGGGGCAAGCGUUGUCCGGAUUUACGGGGUGUAAAGGGUGCUCAGGCGGAUUUGUAAGUCAGAGGUGAAAUCUUACAGCUUAACUGUGAAACUGCCUUUGAUACUGCAAGCCUAGAGUAUGGAAGAGAGUGAUGGAAUAUCUGGUGUAGCAGUGAAAUGCGUAGAUAUCAGAUAGAACACCUAUGGCGAAGGCAGUCACUUGGUCCAUUACUGACGCUAAAGCACGAAAGCGUGGGUAGCAAGCA
RNAcentral lists this ribosomal RNA (417 nucleotides) under uncultured bacterium. RNAcentral describes it as "bacterial SSU rRNA". It matches the Rfam family "Bacterial small subunit ribosomal RNA", at positions 358 to 774 of the family's 1533-position model. The record is from RNAcentral.